This 866-nucleotide unclassified non-coding RNA is filed under the name Hevea brasiliensis (rubber tree). The record is from RNAcentral. Lineage: Eukaryota; Viridiplantae; Streptophyta; Magnoliopsida; Malpighiales; Euphorbiaceae.
ACUGGAAGUCCACACUCUGCAAAUCCCUCAAUUUCUUCCUCGCCAAACAGAAACACAAAUACGCCCAAUUACCAACCCUUUGAUCAGACGAUAAUAAAAACCCCUAAACAAUUGAAUUUGAUAGAGAAAACAGAAGAAGAAGAAGAAGAAUGUUUCGAAUCACAAGAGCUAGACCUCUGUCGCCACUAGCCCACCAAUUCGUCCAACGAUGUUCUGUGAGCGGAACAGCCAAAGGCAAGGCCAAAAUGAAAGAUGGUCAACCCAAGAAACGCAACAAAAUAUCCGCUAAGAAAGGCUCCAAAGAUCAAGAUCCUUCUAAGUCACCUUCAUUCUCGCGUCAAGACGCCGAGAAGUACCGUUUGUACGAGGAAUGCAUCAAUGCCCCUACCCCAGUUCGUUUCCUCAAACCCAAAGAACGAGCGCGUGAAGCCGAGCGCGAGAAGUUGGGGCUUGAAAGCCAGGAGAGGAAGCGCGAGAAAGAAAUUCUCAAGAAAGGAGGCAGGCAAGCCAUGGGAGUUCCUGAUGAGCCGAUGAUCAUGGGAACUCCUGGAUUGGACCUUAUAGCUCUUGGAUUGGUGGAUGUGGAUAAGAUACCCAAGUAUGAGCUGACUGAGGAGGAUGGGAAGAGAUUGGCCAAGGAGUAUAGCAGAGUUUUGAUGAGGAAGCACAGGGCCAGACAAGCAGCAGAGUCGACCCUGUUGAGGUUGAAGAAGGAGGCCAUUGAGGCAUUGCCAGAGAAGUUGAAGCAGGCUGCUUUGGUUCCAGAUUUGACGCCUUUUCCAGUGAACAGGUUCAUGGCGACCCUGACUCCCCCAAUUGAAGGAUACAUUGAGAAGGUUAAGGAAGCAGCAAGGAGAAGCUCAGGG